RNAcentral lists this transfer RNA (96 nucleotides) under Burkholderia sp. Ac-20379. RNAcentral describes it as "tRNA-Sec". It matches the Rfam family "Selenocysteine transfer RNA". Lineage: Bacteria; Pseudomonadati; Pseudomonadota; Betaproteobacteria; Burkholderiales; Burkholderiaceae. The record is from RNAcentral.
GGAAGGCAUUCGUAUCCGGUGGUACGGCCAGACUUCAAAUCUGGUUAGGGACGUCAACCGUUCCUGGGUUGGUUCGACUCCAGCUGCCUUCCGCCA